This 533-nucleotide long non-coding RNA is filed under the name Phoenix dactylifera (date palm). RNAcentral's name for it is "long non-coding RNA (PDAC_LNC015081)". Lineage: Eukaryota; Viridiplantae; Streptophyta; Magnoliopsida; Arecales; Arecaceae. The record is from RNAcentral.
GAAGCAUCAACCAUUUGAUGAUUUCGUUCAGACAACCCGUCAUAAAAGCAUUGUACUAGUUGCCAUUUGGGUAUUUGAUGAUGCAGGCAUUUUCGAAGUAAAUCUCUAAAUUUUUUCUAAGUUUCAUGAAAUUCUUCCCCGUCAGAUUGGGAGAAGCUCGUGAUAGCACGCCUAAAUUGGUUCGUUCUUCCUAUGGAAAAAUAUUUUUUUAGAAAUUCAUGUUGCAUUUGAGCCCAUGAAAGAAUGGAAUUGGCUUCUAAUGAAUGGAGCCACUACUUAGCUCUAUCCUUAAGAGAGAAAGGGAACAACCUAAGUUUCAGAGCAUCAUCAGUGAAGUUCUGAAUUUUGACAGUGGUGCAGAUCUCAAGAAACUCAUCUAGAUGUUUGUAUGGGUCUUCAUUGUUGAGUCCAUAAAAAGAGGGAAGCAUUUGGAUGACAGUAGACUUAAUUUCAAAUUGUACAGCAGCAGUGGUAUCAGAUAGUCGAAUACAAGAUGGAGAGGUAUAAAUGAAAGGAGUGAAGUACUCCUUUAA